UCUAGGCUGAACCACUCUGCACAUGCUCGAUUUUGUCUGACCUUGAAAGUUAAGCAGUGUUAGGCCAGCUCCAUACUUAUCUAGGAGAUAUCCUAGGAGUACCAAGCACCACAGGAA
This 117-nucleotide ribosomal RNA is filed under the name Phascolarctos cinereus (koala). The record is from RNAcentral. Lineage: Eukaryota; Metazoa; Chordata; Mammalia; Diprotodontia; Phascolarctidae.